This 70-nucleotide transfer RNA is filed under the name Loxodonta africana (African savanna elephant). It matches the Rfam family "tRNA". Rfam says of the family: Transfer RNA (tRNA) molecules are approximately 80 nucleotides in length. Their secondary structure includes four short double-helical elements and three loops (D, anti-codon, and T loops). Lineage: Eukaryota; Metazoa; Chordata; Mammalia; Proboscidea; Elephantidae. The record is from Rfam by way of RNAcentral.
GCAAUGGUGAUUCAGUGGUAGAAUUCCCACCUUCCAUGUGGGAGGCCUGGUUAGAUUCCUGGCCAAUGCA